RNAcentral lists this long non-coding RNA (5340 nucleotides) under Zea mays. Its description in RNAcentral is "long non-coding RNA (ZMAY_LNC002797)". Lineage: Eukaryota; Viridiplantae; Streptophyta; Magnoliopsida; Poales; Poaceae. The record is from RNAcentral.
AUCACCAGGUGUGCUGGGACCAAGUCUCACACAUAUGAUGAAUCAUGGCACAGGAUCGAAUGUCACAUCUUUACUAUAUAAUAGGAGUUUUGUACAAAAUAAAUAAAUAAUUACAUUAUAAGGAGACAACGGUCCAGCAACCCAAAGUUGACUGGGAGACGACGGCCUAGACCUCUCACGAACACAUCGCAGCAUCCUCCAUGUGUCAUCCUACGGUACCUGUUCUUGACCUGUGGGGGGGGUGUGAGACAGCAAGAGUGAGCUCACAUACGUUCAUCGCUCAACAAGUUGUGGGGAAUAAAGUGCAUGAACUCGCCAAAGGUGGGAGCUCACGUGAAGUGUAAGGCUUACCAAAGAGGAUGGUUAGAGCUGAGCAUUGCUUUUAAAGUUGGUCAAAAUUUUAUUAGCAGUUACUAAGUAUAAGUAAAUACCAACCCAAUUAAGUAGUAGAGCAAAAGUAACAUCAUCACCUGCGAUGCAAUGCAUAUGACAAAUUGAAUUUAGUUCCAUAAAUUAAUCAUCAGAGAGUCCUGAGCUGCUCAUGACCGUGAGCUCGGCUAGUAUACCAGUUUUACACUCUGCAGAGGUGGUACCCUUUACCCACAAGUCAUGUUACCCGUCUGCCAAGGGAUCGCGACUUCCCAUACACCUCUACCGAGGAGGCGAGGCAGGGUAACACUACGAGGCCUUUACAAAGUUCCACUAGCUUCAGAAAACCCGCUACAGUUUAUAGGAAGCUCCAAUGCAGGAAUCCCUUGCAGGACCGCCAUCGCAGCAAAAUCCUCCCGAGGGCCUCCCUACACUGACCACUCCCCUACUGCCCUUGCCCCUUUCGGGUAAGGUAGUCCUCCACUAGCUUUCCUAAUUAAUCAGCCAAGGGCGUCCAUAAACCCUUGUGGUGGCACGUGUUUCUCAAGUUAAGCUCUAUGUUCCAAUUAACAUUUAAUGAUCUUGUCAUGAACAUAAAUAGAAUAACAACAUAAUUGGAACAUAGAUGUAAUGAAAUAUUAACCCAAAACCAUAUAAAGCAGUAGCAGAACUACCCAAGUGAUUCAGGGGUAAACAAGGUAUUCAGGAUGAACAAACUAGGGUGACCUAUUGGGUCCCAUCAAAAUUAACCUAUGCAGAUCAUUAUGAUUAAUCAGAACAUGAGUAGGUAAAAAGAAGUGAUCAAGGGCACAACUUGCCUGACACUUGAGAUUCCAGGUACCAACUUGCUCUUCGGAUGACACGUGUCCUCGCGCUAGUCGUAGCAAUACAAACAAAUAUGGUAUAGAUAAAACUAACAUCACACCAAGCAUAAGUACAAACUGAAUAAUAAUGAUCUACGCGUUUCUACGAGACUAACGCAACUUGAACGGAUCAAAUCAGAGUUAAAACGGGGAAGAUACGAAUUUCCUAAUGUUUUAUGUAUUUGAUAUGGAUUUAAUUAGGAAAUAAAUUUUAAGGUGGCUUUCGUGUCAAAUUAGUGGCACUAUUAGAUAAACAAUAAUAUUAUAAAAUUAUAGGAACUGGAAUGACUCAAUUUGGAAUUAGUAUGAAUUUUCUACGGAUUAAACAAAUUCUAGCCAUUAUUUUUAUAUUAAAAAUCCAUUUUCUAUUUAUUUCCCUGGAUUUUCUAUUUACUGGACUGGGCCUCAAUUACUGGUAAGUUCAGGGGCUAACCCGCAAGAUCUCCAAGACACAGCGCCAUCCGCGCUGGACCGCGGGUUGAAUCUCAAUAAACCCAGGGCCCAUAUGCAAAACAGACCCGACGAAGGGGUAUCAGCCAGAUCUGGCCGUCCGAUCCCCAACAGACGGUGCAGAUUAGAUUUGAAUUUUUCAGAAAGGGUAUGAAAUAUAAGGCCUUGGAUCCAGAUCUAACGGUCUGAGUUUUAUGAAAUCUAAUCCAGAUCCGAACCGCACGAUUGCGAUCCAACCGCCCGAAUUCCGCGGGGUGAAGGUGUACGCAGAAUUUAAUCCACUCCCUCCGUUUAGAAUCCUACGGCCCCGGCUUCUAUAACAUGUCUUCUAAUCCUAACCAGUCAUCGCGAGAUCAAGGGCUCUGCGUUCGUCUUCUUCCUUUCGUCAACCCGGCAGUAGUUGCAAGUGCCAGGAAACCCAGCAUGGUGAACGGUGAGCUAGCUACUCGUCGGUACGGGUCGACGUGCGAAUAUAACUCACGUACUGAGAAAGUAAUGGUGGUUUGCAGGGGAGUUAUCAUACCGUGUUUCACGGCGCAAGUACAGUCGUCUAGAAGUCUGCAGCACGACGGCGAUCCUUCAAUGUCGACAACGAAGCACUCGCACAAUCUUCAACGCUCGGCGAAGAGGCCCGGUCCGCUCCUCAUCGCACGCACAGGAAGUACCUGGACGUCCAGUGCGUGACUUGUCGAACACCCUCUCGGCAACAACACUCACGUUCUCUCUCUUCAUCCUUUGUUUCUCUCGGCGGCUGUGAAUAUGACGGCGCACGCCCGGUGCUUUUCUCCAGGGCGACCGAGACGGCAACUGCCAGGACCAAGAGAUUUAUGGGGGCGCGCAGGGCGGUAGCGCCGGAAAUCCGGUUCUCCGUUUUGGUCGGCGCCCACAUCCCGGAAAUACGCGUAUGCGUAUUCGCAGUGGCCCAGCCGUCAGGGACAGUGAAAGGUAUACGGAUGAGGUCACCUGUGACGCCCGGCCGACGUCACCCACGCAGGAAACUAUUCUUUAUUCGGCUGGAGCGGUCCUCGGCGGGAGAAUAGCUGCAGGAGGAAGCCACCUGGGCCGGCUGUUACGGGGAGGUGGUUACGGCAUGCAUGGAUUUGUUACGGGGAGGAAGACGCGGUUGACAUCAGAGCCUAUAAACUAGUUACCCGCGCAGAGCUUCGUACGUGAUUCUAUCGUCCACAUGUCGGUGACUACGUAGAAGUAGACGUGUGCAUGGAAAUACGGCUGCAUGUGUUGCUUGCUUGAUGUCACACUUGUGUCAUGCUGACCUCAUGUGCGGCAAGAGGAUUAAAUAAAAGAAAAGAAGAGAUGUGGGCUACGGAAUACCUUGGGCUGGGUGGGAGGUGAUCUGGCCCAAGCGCAGGAUUGCUCCUCUUUUUUUUCUAUUUUAAAUUUCUUGUUUUAGUUUCCUUCACAUUUUCAGAUUCCUAUUUCAAAUUCAAAAUUGAUUCAACUUCAAUUUUGCCAGUACAAAAGCUAAUACUAAUGUGACCUCUACCAUUUUCAGUAUUAUUAUUUAUUUUUUUCCUUGUUGUUUAUUUAGGGAAGGAAUAAAUAGCUUCAUUAAAUUCCCCUUUCUUAUUUUAUAUUUAUAUCUUCGUUUAUACUUUGAGGUCAAAAUUAUGUGUUUAAUAAAGUACCUCCCACAAAGUCAUCAGUAAGAGAUGCACUUUUCAUUAUUUAUUUAUUGGUUGCUUAAUUAAUUUAGUACCAUUAAUUGAUUAUGAGAAGAAAAUAUCCAAAUGUAUUUUCCAAGGGAUUCAACAAUUCUCAAAACACUAUGAUAAAUAUAUUUGUUUAUUUAUUUAUUUAUUUAUUUUAUACCCAAUUUUAGGGCCUUACAAAUCCUACCACCUUAAAAAUAAUCUCGUCCUCGAGAUUUGUACGGACAUGGAUGUAAAAGAAAACUUUUUUAUAGUUUAGCUUUUAACUUCUAAGAAGUGUCAUGUUAUUUAGAAAGUGGUUAUGAAAGCAUGGGUAUAUAUAUGUAUGGUCACCUUAUUGUGUAGGAUGAAAGAUAGGUUAGGGCAAGCAUAGCCUAGGGUGAGAAGGUUUAUAGUGGGAAAGAAUUCUGUGUUGAGUGGUAAAGCAUUAGAAGAUUGAGUUUGACUUCUCUCCUUCCUUGACGAGGUUGAUCUUUUCUUCUCCAGUCUUGGUCUCCUUGAUUCGAGGUUAGUGUAUAUCAUCGGAGUUGGGGCAUAUGGUCGAAGUAGUUAUGGGUGAGAUGGACUACAUGUUGUAGGUCAAAAUCUUGUUUGAUGUUUGGUAGGCACAGAUAGAUUAUGCAAUCCAUCAUGACUCUAUUGGUUGGGUUAGAUCUAUUAGGAUGACAUAAAAUCUUUUCAAGAUAAGAUGAAUCCUCUAAGGUAAUAGAGUAUAUUUUUAAGAUAAGAUGGAUCUAUUAAGCUUACUAUAUUUUAGUGGGGGAUAAUCUAAGUUGCCUAGUUUUUGUAUCAACAUUUUUUUAUUUACUAUAUGUAUAUAUAGAUGUAAUUGUGGACAUUACUCCACAACUCAUCGCACUCAAUCAAAGAUCCAAAUCAGACAAGCAUCAUAAGAACAAACAUUCAAGUUCAUAGAUAUCUAUAUAACAGAAAAUAAUUUUGUUUUUGUUCCUAAGAGUAGGUCACCUAUUCCUAAAGUCACUUUAAGAACAGGAUUUCAAAGUGUGAAACCCACAUUUGUCUUUAGAAUGAAAAGGUAAGAAUAAUCAGAGUGAAGCGGAAUUAGAUGAGAAAAGAUUAAGAUGAGUUUAGAAAGAGUCAGAGUAGCAGAGGUAAGGUUAAUCAGAGUAGAACAGUAGAAGGUGAAACAGGAUCAAGAUAAGUAUAGAAAGAAUCAGAGUAAGGUAAGUAGACAAUGGUUGUCCAUUUCUAUCUAGGUUUCGUCCUACAGUCAACAUUCCUCUGAUACCACUUCUGUCACACCCGGAUUUUAGGGGUCCAAAACCCGGGCGCGAACAUAAUCACCAGGUGUGCUGGGACCAAGUCUCACACAUAUGAUGAAUCAUGGCACAGGAUCGAAUGUCACAUCUUUACUAUAUAAUAGGAGUUUUGUACAAAAUAAAUAAAUAAUUACAUUAUAAGGAGACAACGGUCCAGCAACCCAAAGUUGACUGGGAGACGACGGCCUAGACCUCUCACGAACACAUCGCAGCAUCCUCCAUGUGUCAUCCUACGGUACCUGUUCUUGACCUGUGGGGGGGGUGUGAGACAGCAAGAGUGAGCUCACAUACGUUCAUCGCUCAACAAGUUGUGGGGAAUAAAGUGCAUGAACUCGCCAAAGGUGGGAGCUCACGUGAAGUGUAAGGCUUACCAAAGAGGAUGGUUAGAGCUGAGCAUUGCUUUUAAAGUUGGUCAAAAUUUUAUUAGCAGUUACUAAGUAUAAGUAAAUACCAACCCAAUUAAGUAGUAGAGCAAAAGUAACAUCAUCACCUGCGAUGCAAUGCAUAUGACAAAUUGAAUUUAGUUCCAUAAAUUAAUCAUCAGAGAGUCCUGAGCUGCUCAUGACCGUGAGCUCGGCUAGUAUACCAGUUUUACACUCUGCAGAGGUGGUACCCUUUACCCACAAGUCAUGUUACCCGUCUGCCAAGGGAUCGCGACUUCCCAUACACCUCUACCGAGGAGGCGAGGCAGGGUAACACUACGAGGCC